RNAcentral lists this ribosomal RNA (479 nucleotides) under uncultured bacterium. RNAcentral's name for it is "partial 16S ribosomal RNA". It matches the Rfam family "Bacterial small subunit ribosomal RNA", at positions 28 to 507 of the family's 1533-position model. The record is from RNAcentral.
GAUGAACGCUGGCGGCGUGCUUAACACAUGCAAGUCGAACGAAGCACUUAAGAUUGAUUCUUCGGAUGACGUCUUUUGUGACUUAGUGGCGGACGGGUGAGUAACGCGUGGGUAACCUGCCUCACACAGGGGGAUAACAGUUAGAAAUGACUGCUAAUACCGCAUAACCCGAUAGGAUCGCAUGAUCCAGACGGAAAAGAUUUAUCGGUGUGAGAUGGACCCGCGUCUGAUUAGCUAGUUGGUGAGGUAACGGCCCACCAAGGCGACGAUCAGUAGCCGGCCUGAGAGGGUGAACGGCCACAUUGGGACUGAGACACGGCCCAAACUCCUACGGGAGGCAGCAGUGGGGAAUAUUGCACAAUGGGGGAAACCCUGAUGCAGCGACGCCGCGUGAGUGAAGAAGUAUUUCGGUAUGUAAAGCUCUAUCAGCAGGGAAGGAAAUGACGGUACCUGACUAAGAAGCCCCGGCUAACUACGUG